AGAAUGUUGGUGUAAAGGGUGCACGCUUAAACUUUAGGUAAGCAGAAUAAGUUCAAAUCUUAUACAUUUUG
This 71-nucleotide transfer RNA is filed under the name Inonotus hispidus. RNAcentral's name for it is "tRNA-Lys". Lineage: Eukaryota; Fungi; Basidiomycota; Agaricomycetes; Hymenochaetales; Hymenochaetaceae. The record is from RNAcentral.